This 508-nucleotide ribosomal RNA is filed under the name uncultured bacterium. RNAcentral describes it as "bacterial SSU rRNA". It matches the Rfam family "Bacterial small subunit ribosomal RNA", at positions 29 to 507 of the family's 1533-position model. The record is from RNAcentral.
AUGAACGCUGGCGGCGUGCCUAACACAUGCAAGUCGAGCGUGAACCCUGCGAAUGAAACUUCGGUCGAUUUUGCAGGGGGAAAGCGGCGGACUGGUGAGUAACGCGUGGGUAAUCUAUCGUAGGCAUGGGGAUAGUCACUAGAAAUAGUGGGUAAUACCGAAUACGUUCCAUGAGGGGAGUACUUAUGGAAGAAAGGGUGCUACGGCACUGGCCUUAGGUGAGCUCGCGUCCCAUUAGCUAGUUGGUGAGGUAAAGGCCCACCAAGGCGAUGAUGGGUAGCCGGCCUGAGAGGGUGUACGGCCACACUGGGACUGAGAUACGGCCCAGACUCCUACGGGAGGCAGCAGCUAAGAAUAUUCCGCAAUGGACGGAAGUCUGACGGAGCGACGCCGCGUGGAUGAAGAAGGCCGAAAGGUUGUAAAGUUCUUUUGCUAGGGGAGAAUAAGUGAGGGAGGGAAUGCCCUCAUGAUGACAAGGACUAGCGAAUAAGCCCCGGCCAACUACGUG